AGCGAUUGGAGCAUACAGCUGACUGCAUGGAUUAUAUAAGAAGGAAAACAUCAAGAAGACCUAAACCUGAUGUGAACAGAAGUCCUUUCACUCAAAACAAAGCAUGAUACUGGAACCUCUAGUUACUGGGCAGUAACCCCUCAGGCUGAAAAUGAAGAUUUCUUCCUGGAAAUGUGACAGAAACCUAAUUCAUUCUCAGUUUGAGAUUUGUCUCCCAUGUGGGUUAACUCCAUUAAGCAACACUUGCUCAUCCCCUCCACCCCCUACUCCACCACUGGGGCAGGGGAAGGGGAAAGGAAAAGUUAAAGCAAAAUAAAAUCAUGGAUUAAGAUAGAAAUCGUUUAAUAACUGAAGGAGAAAUGGAAGAAGAGAGAAAGAAUACAAUGGAAAGCAAGUAUAGCAAAGGCAAUUGCUCACAACCUCUGAAGAUCAAACUGAUGCCCAGCCAAAUUCUGAGAAAUCUGAUUCACCUCAAACCUCUCCACUCUGUUUUACCACUGAGUAUGGCAUUCUAUGGCAUGGAAUAUGCCCCUGGAUAGAUCAUCAGCCUGGCUGUGAGCCUCUUAGCCUCUUGCACACCCCCAGAGAGUGUUCAUUGCAAGGGUAGAGGGAGAAACAAAGAAGGCCCUGAUGCUGUGUGAGACCUGCUCAGCAAUAAAUAAAAAAGUGGUGUGUUAAAUACUGUCUUUGCCAUGAACCUAAAGCACAUCACCGUGGAGAUGCUAUGAAGCUUUGCCUAUCCAGAUACAGUACAUCUCCCAUCGUGCAACUUCUCAAGGCAUUUUGUACCUCUGUGCCCAGCAGCAUCAAAGGUUUAUUCAAGAACAACGUUUGCAAAUUAACUUUUUGGAAACAGACCAUAAAGCAUCAUCCCAAAGCUCAGUUCUGUUGCUGACAGAAAAGAAUACUUGUCUACACAGUCCAUCAAUUCUUUCCAAGGUUAAUAGACUCUGAUGAAAAAAAAUAUAAAGAUUUUACUUAAAAUAUUUAAAACACAUCUUUUGAUCAAUGCCAGCUGUUUUGGUGCAACUAUACUCUCUGUUUUGAUCAUCUAUAUAGGUUGAUCUGAAAGUAAUGCCUCCUGUUUUCCAUGGAAACCACAAUAGAUACAAAGAGCAGAACAACACUAUUUGAUUGAGCAAAUUCACAAAUACAAGACAGUAUUUUUCAACACAGUUACCAGCAUUAGCUGAUUAAUGCAGAUGAGCUGAUUGAGAUGCUUUUCCCUUCAGGAUGUGACAGUUGUACAAGCCCUUCCAGAACAUGGCUUGUCUUUCACAUCCACAUCACUGUGCUCACAUCCACUGGUCUCCACAAACAUUCAGAAAACAUCAAUUAAUGUCAUGGGUGUCAUUUGUUCUGCAUGGAGGAAUUCAGUGGCACACUUUUGUUUCAUACACACAUCCACGUCAGACAGCAUUUUGUCAGACUGCCCCUCUGCUGUCAUGUGUCACACAGCAACAAAAUCUAAUGGAAUAUUGAUGGGAAGGUUCAGCCUCUACUGUUGUACCAUCAACAUCCACCUCUGAUGUCAUGGGCUAACAUAAUAAAAUAGUAGGCACUGCAUUCAGAGCAGCCCUUGUAUCUGCUGCAGUUCUGUGCAUAAAGGAGAUUAUCUUCCCACCAAGCUCAUUAAAUAAAAAAACAUAAAUUUCAUUAGUGCUAAAUAUUAAGAAAGAAUGUUUACCAACUAGAAAACAGACUCUAAUUUCAAAGCCACAAAUGUUGGCAUACUUCUACUCUUUCUUCUUCUAUAUUGAUCUACAUUCAUUAUCAUUUAAUUCCUUCAGCCGUGUUGAUGUUGUAAUUGUUCUGAGUAGAAUUUUGUGGAUAAUUGUUUCACUCUGUGCCACAAUUCCUUCUCAUGUCCACGAAAUACCAGUCCUGAAAGUCCAUGCAAAAACUAAAAAUAAUGGGACCCUAUUUGUUCAACUGGUAUCUUUUAGCAGCACUAACACCCAGUCCUGCAAGAACAGUAUCUCAAAUUUGAGGACAUUCUGCUAGCUGCUCCUGAGGUCCAGGACUACAAACUCUAAAUUCUCCAGAGCGCAGUCUAUAGCAGUUGUUAGGAAGGCUGCAUGGAGAAGGGGACAUGAAACAUGACAAGGCUCAAGAUAUACCAAAUCAUCAGGCAUUCAUUAGAGUUUUCCUGAGGGAAAAGUAUAUAUCCCCCUUUCAGCAGAAAUCAAGAAUAUUCCUUGAUAUUUGAAGACAAUUCAUUCAAACAAAAAACAUAAGACAAAACAUUAAAUUUUCCAUUAAUCAUCAUGUUUUUUCAGAAGCGUUCUUCAUACAGGUUCUCCAGUAAUUUCUUCUCAAGUAAUGCAAAUCUUGGUAAGCCUGUACUGUUUGACAGGGCGGGGUACGGGGGAGGUGGCAAUGUUGUUUUGUUUUACUUUUUUUAAUCCCCGUUGCUGAUCUCUUGAUUUCCUGAUAUAUGCUGUUGGAGUAGUAAAACACAUAGCAGUGGUACUAAGCCAGUGGUCCUCACUCAGUGCAACAAAGAAGCUGACAUUGAGGUAGUAAAAUCAAUUUCUUAACACAUAACAGAGAAUCGCAGAAUUGUAGAGGCUGGAAGAGACCUCUAUAGACCACUGAGUCUAGCCCCCCUGCAAAGCAGGCACCCUACAGCAGUCUGCACAGGUAGGCAUCCAGGUGAGUCUUGAAUAUCCCCAGAGAAGAAUCCACAAUCUACCUGGGCAGCCUGUUCCAGUGCUCUGUCACCCUUACUGUGAAGAAGUUCCUUUGCAUAUUGGUGUGGAACUUCCCAUGCUCAAGUUUAUGGCCUUGUCCGGUCCCCACAGACGGCUGAAAAGAGGUUGGCCAUGUCCCUUUGACUCCCACACUAAAGAUAUGUGUAAACAUUAAUGACAUCACCUCUCAGUCUUCUUUUCUCAAGGCUGAACAGAUCCACGUCACCCAGCCUUUCCUCACAGGCGAGGUGCUCCAGGCCCUUUAUCACCUUUGUGGCUCUCCACUGGACUCUCUCCAGGAGAUCCCUGUCUUUUUUGUACCAGGAAGCUCAUAACUGGACACAGUACUCCAGGUGAGGCCUCACCAGGGCAGAGUAGACAGGGAGGAUCACCUCCUUUAACCUCCUGGCCAAGCUCCUUUUAAUGCCCCCGAGGAUCCCACUGAUUUUCUUGGCUGCCAGGGCACAAUGCUGGCUCAUGGUCAACCUAAACCUCAGUGAUCUGUUAGCCUGCACGGAUCUUGCUUCUUAGUCAUUAGAAAGAUGGUGGAAAUAUAGCACUGCUUCAUCCCAAACUCCUUCUGGAUGUUUAUGCUGAAUAAGGAUGAGAAUCUGGCAUGUUGUGAAUUCAACCAUGCAAUCUUUUGCUUAAUCACAUGAAGAAGUUUAGCUAGAGUUCUGCUACUAUUUUAGAAAAGAAUCCUAUAUUCACAGCUGUGACUUGCAAACCAUAACAUCUGUAACCUACAGACUUUUAACAGAAGUACAGCAAUAAUUAUUUUUUAGAUAGCAGUGGGAUCUUUAAAAUUCAUAGAAUACGUUAUUGGUGCCAUGGCCUAACAAGUUAGAGAUUACAGGACAUAGGUUAUAGCCAACUGCUCCUCAAAUGCUGUAUGUACUGACGAUGUAAAGUAGUUUAUAGAGAAGUUCAUUGAAAUUAUAAGUAGAAGCACAGUAGUGUUAAAGCAGCCUAAAUGGACUGUUUGGAGCAGAGCCAGCAUCUUUCAUUAAUACCUUUUAGAGCUAGCUCCACUGUGGAUUUUCUGGUUUACCAUUAUGAUACAGAACACAAAACAACUUACAGAUCUAUUCCUUUGUUCAAUUAUAUGUGGAAUCUAUCUUUACUAAAGGUUGUCCUGUGCUCUAAACUAAUGCUUCAGAGUGUUUUAACUAGCUGCUUAAAAAUUUUCUUGGUAUGUCCAUAAAUCCAGACACACAUAGGCAUCUGCUU
Molecule: long non-coding RNA, 3923 nt
Organism: Gallus gallus (chicken)
Lineage: Eukaryota; Metazoa; Chordata; Aves; Galliformes; Phasianidae
Source: Ensembl